GUUGAAGGUAGCUACCUGUAACUUGAACCAGUGGGCGAUGGAUUUCGACUGCAAUUUAAAGAACAUUAAGGAGUCCAUAGCCAAGGCCAAAGAAGCUGGUGCCGUUAUUAGACUCGGCCCUGAGCUUGAAAUCACUGGCUAUGGCUGUGAAGAUCAUUUCUUGGAGCUCGAUACCGUCACUCACGCAUGGGAUUGCUUGAAAGAAAUUCUGCUGGGGGAUUGGACUGAUGGGAUAUUGUGCAGCUUCGGGAUGCCGGUUAUUAAAGGAUCAGAGCGUUACAAUUGUCAAGUUUUGUGUUUGAACAGGAAAAUUAUAAUGAUACGCCCAAAAAUGUGGCUCGCUAAUGAUGGUAAUUACAGGGAGCUUCGAUGGUUCACUGCAUGGAAGCAAAAUGAUCAGCUUGUGGACUUUCAUCUCCCAAAUGAAGUUUCAAAGGCUAUAAAUCAGGAUUCAGUGCCUUUUGGUUAUGCUUUCAUUCAGUUUUUAGAUACAGCUGUUGCUGCUGAAGUUUGCGAAGAACUUUUCACCCCUAUCCCACCUCAUGCUGAGCUUGCCCUUAAUGGGGUAGAAGUGUUUAUGAAUGCGAGUGGGAGUCACCACCAAUUGAGGAAGCUUGAUCUUCGUCUUCGUGCUUUUAUAGGUGCUACUCAUACUCGAGGAGGCGUUUAUAUGUACAGUAAUCACCAAGGAUGUGAUGGUGGCCGCCUUUAUUAUGAUGGAUGUUCUUGCAUUAUUGUAAAUGGAGAAGUGGUUGCCCAAGGAUCCCAAUUUUCUUUAAAGGAUGUUGAAGUUGUAAUUGCCCAAGUAGAUCUGGAUGCGGUUGCUAGCCUUAGAGGAUCUAUAAGUAGUUUUCAAGAACAAGCAAGUUGCAAAACCACAGUAUCAUCAGUAGCAGUGCCGUACAAUCUCUGUCAGCCCUUUAACCUGCAAAUGUCCCUUUCCAGCCCCCUUAAGAUCAACUAUCAUUCUCCUGAAGAGGAAAUAGCCUUUGGCCCUGGUUGCUGGCUCUGGGACUAUCUAAGAAGAAGUGGAGCUUCUGGAUUUCUGCUUCCUCUUUCUGGUGGAGCGGAUAGUUCCUCUGUGGCUGCUAUUGUUGGUUGCAUGUGCCAACUUGUUGUGAAAGAGAUUGCAAAUGGGGAUGAACAAGUCAAAGCUGAUGCAAUACGAAUUGGACAUUACACCAAUGGGCAAUUUCCUACCGACAGCAAAGAAUUUGCAAAGCGUAUAUUUUAUACUGUAUUUAUGGGGUCUGAAAACAGUUCUGAAGCCACAAGACAGCGGGCAAAGGUUCUAGCAGAUGAGAUUGGUUCAUGGCAUCUUGAUGUUUCAAUAGAUGGUGUUAUUUCUGCAUUGCUAUCGUUGUUUCAAACCCUAACUGGAAAGCGACCACGUUACAAGGUAGAUGGGGGUUCUAAUAUUGAGAACCUAGGGUUGCAGAACAUUCAAGCUCGAAUCAGAAUGGUGCUAGCAUUUAUGUUAGCCUCACUCUUGCCUUGGGUUCAUAAUAAAUCAGGUUUUUAUCUCGUUUUGGGUAGCUCUAAUGUGGAUGAAGGACUGCGUGGUUACCUGACAAAGUAUGAUUGUAGCUCGGCAGAUAUAAAUCCAAUAGGAAGUAUUAGCAAGCAGGAUCUUCGGGCAUUUUUGCGAUGGGCUGCCAUCCAUCUUGGUUACUUAUCCUUGGCAGAAGUUGAAGCAGCACCUCCAACUGCUGAAUUGGAGCCUAUACGUUCAAACUACAGUCAGCUUGAUGAAGUUGACAUGGGAAUGACAUAUGAGGAGCUCUCAGUUUAUGGAAGGUUGCGCAAAAUUUUCCGCUGUGGACCAGUGUCGAUGUUUGAGAAUCUCUGCUACAAAUGGGGUUCAAGAUUAACUCCAUCACAGGUGGCUGAUAAAGUGAAACACUUCUUCAAGUACUAUUCCAUUAAUCGCCACAAAAUGACCAUCUUAACACCUUCUUAUCAUGCGGAGAGUUAUUCACCAGAGGAUAACAGGUUCGAUCUUCGUCAGUUUCUGUACAAUGCAAGAUGGCCCUAUCAAUUCCGUAAGAUUGAUCAACUUGUUCCGGAAUUAAAUGGGGAUAAAGUUGCUUUCAGAGAAUCAAAUGACAAGGAAAAAUUGGGUGCUUCUUCAAACGGAGUAGUAGGGAUGGGGGUUGUGGCAUCAGGCUCCGGUGAUCCAAAAGCUGGCCUUUAAUUUUAAAGAGCGAAGUAGAAACUUGCACCAGAAAUAAUAACAUGCAAAUAAAUUGUUUGCCCGUGUCCAUUUUGAUUUCUAUCAAACGCAUACAACAUGGUUUCAUUGCCUCUUCUCAACCAUCUGGCCAGACCCAACUUAUAUUCUUUUUCAACAUUCCAGCCGUUUUUUGUAAGCAGUAACAAAUUCAGCAGUGUAUAACUUUCAAUGUGACUAAAUUACAAGGUUUACCAAAU
Molecule: unclassified non-coding RNA, 2430 nt
Filed under: Hevea brasiliensis (rubber tree)
Lineage: Eukaryota; Viridiplantae; Streptophyta; Magnoliopsida; Malpighiales; Euphorbiaceae
Source: RNAcentral